GUCCCAUGUUACAGUUCCAAGGCCUACUCCAAGAAGAGAUGGAUUUAGACAGCAAAAGAGCUGUAGGACCUGGCUCGCCAGACACCACAACUGCCGGCACCUUGAUCUUGGACUUACCGACUCCACAACUGGUCUUUCCCAGUGGGAAUUCUAUGAUGUUGAGGAAGAUCAGAACAGUGGUGGAAAGCCUUCCCAUAUUGCUUGCAUUCAUAAGGGACUCGGACGGGACCCUUCUAGUCAUUGUCUCAAAGGUGCUCCAUCCUGCUGACCUGGGCCAUUACCUACAGUGCCACUGCCCUCUUUAAUCAUCCUUCACUCACCUGGCACAGGCUUCCUGUCACAUCUCUUUCUGCCAACCAGGGUUCCUUCCCUUGUUCCAGUAAGGAGAUGACAUUUGGCUUG
Molecule: long non-coding RNA, 402 nt
Filed under: Zalophus californianus (California sea lion)
Lineage: Eukaryota; Metazoa; Chordata; Mammalia; Carnivora; Otariidae
Description: lncRNA (ENSZCAG00015020188.1)
Source: RNAcentral